GAUGAACGCUGGCGGCGUGCCUAAUACAUGCAAGUCGAGCGAACAGACGAGGAGCUUGCUCCUCUGACGUUAGCGGCGGACGGGUGAGUAACACGUGGAUAACCUACCUAUAAGACUGGGAUAACUUCGGGAAACCGGAGCUAAUACCGGAUAAUAUAUUGAACCGCAUGGUUCAAUAGUGAAAGACGGUUUUGCUGUCACUUAUAGAUGGAUCCGCGCCGCAUUAGCUAGUUGGUAAGGUAACGGCUUACCAAGGCACCGAUGCGUAGCCGACCUGAGAGUGUGAUCGGCCACACUGGAACUGAGACACGGUCCAGACUCCUACGGGAGGCAGCAGUAGGGAAUCUUCCGCAAUGAGCGAAAGCCUGACGGAGCAACGCCGCGUGAGUGAUGAAGGUCUUCGGAUCGUAAAACUCUGUUAUUAGGGAAGAACAAAUGUGUAAGUAACUAUGCACGUCUUGACGGUACCUAAUCAGAAAGCCACGGCUAACUACGUG
RNAcentral lists this ribosomal RNA (497 nucleotides) under uncultured bacterium. Its description in RNAcentral is "partial 16S ribosomal RNA". It matches the Rfam family "Bacterial small subunit ribosomal RNA", at positions 28 to 507 of the family's 1533-position model. The record is from RNAcentral.